AAUGUGAGGCUACAGGAGAUGAUGGCAACAAUGUGCCAGGAACGUGGAGCCCGGCUUUUUGCUACAGAUGAGAGAUUCUGUAUUGACAAUGGAGCGAUGAUAGCCCAGGCUGGCUGGGAGAUGUUUCGGGCUGGACACAGGACCCCACUCAGUGAUUCUGGGGUUACACAGAGGUGAGUGAUUCACCUCUUGGUGAGGGUAGAUUAUUGGGACAUAGACAAAAACAGCAGGGAAGAGUCCAGGAACAUGAGGGCAGAGAAGAAUGAAGGAUGUUAAGGGCUCGCUCUCCACCAUGUUUCUUCUGUUUUUCCACAGGUAUCGGACAGAUGAAGUAGAGGUGACCUGGAGGGACUAAUAAGAUCAACAGAAUCAGAGUAGAUAGUUCCUUAAUCGGAACCCAAAGGACCCCGUGCCUCAAUCUCUAUCCUGAUGUCAUGGGAGUCCUAGCAAAGCUAUAGACUCCAAGCAAGGCUUGGGGUCCUUUAUGGAACCCCAGGAUGACUCAGCAAUAAAAUAUUUUUGGUUUUUUG
This 530-nucleotide long non-coding RNA is filed under the name Homo sapiens (human). Its description in RNAcentral is "non-protein coding lnc-PIP4P1-2:3". The record is from RNAcentral. Lineage: Eukaryota; Metazoa; Chordata; Mammalia; Primates; Hominidae.